This is a non-coding RNA of Podarcis lilfordi (Lilford's wall lizard), 1767 nucleotides long. NCBI's taxonomy places the organism in Eukaryota, Metazoa, Chordata, Lepidosauria, Squamata, Lacertidae. The record is from the annotation of a GenBank genome assembly.
CAAUCAGAACCCUGGAAAUGGGCUGAUGGUACAGGCUAUGAAGGGUGAGUGGAAGAGAGAGGGUCCCUUUGCUACCCAUUAAAUCAGAUUUGCUUGGGCUGAAGAGAGCAGAAUUCCUCCUACAGCCCCCCCUGGAAUCUGCAGCCUUUCCCCUUCUUGUAGGGCUUAGCCUCACAAAAACCCACUCUUUACCAAUGAAAACAACUCCGUGGAAAACCCAAAUUGACAUUUGCUGUGAUUCACGGGUAAAGAUCCGGUUCUCCUGGGGAAAGUGGCAGGGCAAAAAAGAAAGGUGCUCAGACAUGGACUAGGAAGGUGCAGACUCUAGAAGGUCUGGAUGAGACCAUGGAGAGCCAAACCGCUGGUUGCUUAAGCUUAACGUCCUCCACUGAGGAGCAGCAACAUGUCUUCACUGUCACAAAUGGCUCAUUUCAAGCGCUGCUACCCGAUAUCAAUCUUCAGGAGAGCCACACUGAGCAGCAGCAGUGGGGAAGCUUUUGCGGCCUGAGAGUUAUUUUCCCCAUGGGGAACCUUCUUGGGGGCCACCUGUCAAUGGGGGUGGGCAUGGCCAGAGGCAAGAUGGACAGAGUCACAGCUAUGACACUUCCCCUUGUAGUACAGGGGGCAACAUCAAGCCAUGCAAAAGUCAGACUUCUCUGCACAUCCUGGCAAGCAAGAGGCAUGGUCAGAGGUCAAGGACAUAUUCCAGCCGGGCAGAAAAGCUCGGGGACUGGCUGGGGCCUGAGGAGAGCCCUGAGGGCCAGAGUGGGCUUGUUUGCCCUCAUGCAUCCCAAAAUGGCUUCUCGGGUUUCCGAGUUUCCACUGCUUACCUAGAAUUGGAAGAUGGAAAAGGGAAGGGAGAACUGUUUGCCACCUGCACACUGACGACACCUCAGCCCCAAACUCCCAGAGGCUUCAUGGCGACUGGGGGGGGGGGGGGACUGAUGGACUGGAUCGUUUUCUCCCCACCUGCUCACAGGCUAGGUUUUACCAGUACCCACCCCUGUCUCCUGAUGUCACAGGAUGCCCUUUUGUUGGCUGCACACAUCUUCAGAAUCCCCUUUCAAAGAUCUGUUUAGUGUAGCAAACAGUUUAUACCUGCCCCAUACCUGCUUCAUGAUGUCACAUGACGUCACGUCUACAUCUGGCACAGGCCAUGUGGGUCCCUGCAAAGGCUGCUGGUCUUCAGCUCCCAUCAUCCUCAGUCAGCAGGGGAAAUGGACAGGGACGAUGGGAACUGAAGCCUAGAAACCUUUGCAGAGCAAUACUUUGCCGCUCUGGACUGAUCUGGAUUCCCCCCCCCAACAGGCUCCUCCUAAACUGGCCAUGUCCGGCUGUUAUAACCACCACUGACAAUUCAGAUUCUGCAAAAUUGUGGCUGGUACAAAUGUGGGCAGCUACACAGAGUCUACACAGAGACUCAUUUUGGGGUGGCUGGGAGAACUGAGAUAACAAUGAAUGGCGAGGAGGGAUUGGGCCUUUUUGCCUUGACUGUCAUCUUUGUCUUUCUAGAACUGAACAUAUUGGGACUUGUAGUGAUACAGGCAACUGCAUUCAAAUGAACCAAGGAGCCCUGGAACAGUGUAACUGUUGGUAUGUAAAGAGAUUUAUCUGCGAGAAGAAAGCUCAAUAUCCAUACCCAUUGAGAGCUCAGUAGGGCCAAAUUAUGUGCGGACUCUCGUAAAGGUAAAGGUAAAGGGACCCCUGACCAUUAGGUCCAGUCGUGACCGACUCUGGGGUUGCGGCAUUCAUCUCGCUUUACUGGCC